AAAUUUUCUGCUCCAUAUUUAAACAGUGAGCCAGUUUAUAGACGUUCAUCUGAUGACUAGAGGAAGAGAAAAGAACAGCAGCAGUUCAAACUGGCUUGUAAAAUACGGCUGCUACCUUCAUCAUGUUCUCUUCGUUUUCAGUGUUGCUUCUGGCAAUGGUAUCCUGUGUUAAUUCAAAUGACCUCACUCAGCCUGAGUUCAUGACUGUUCGACCUGGUGACACUCUGACUAUCAACUGUAAAGUCUCAUAUUCAGUUACUAGUUAUAGUACAGGCUGGAUUCGUCAGCCUGCAGGAGAAGCUCUGGAGUGGAUUGGAGUGAUCUACUAUGAUGGGGACUUAGCCUACAAGGAUUCACUGAAAAACAAGUUCAGUAUCACCAGAGACACCUCCAGUAACACAAUCACAUUGAAGGGGAAUAAUAUACAAGCUCAAACACAGCUGUGUAUUAUUGUGCCAGAGAAUCACAGUGACACACAUUAA
This is a non-coding RNA of Myxocyprinus asiaticus (Chinese sucker), 482 nucleotides long. NCBI's taxonomy places the organism in Eukaryota, Metazoa, Chordata, Actinopteri, Cypriniformes, Catostomidae. The record is from the annotation of a RefSeq genome assembly.